RNAcentral lists this long non-coding RNA (703 nucleotides) under Ananas comosus (pineapple). Its description in RNAcentral is "long non-coding RNA (ACOM_LNC014416)". The record is from RNAcentral. Lineage: Eukaryota; Viridiplantae; Streptophyta; Magnoliopsida; Poales; Bromeliaceae.
UCAAUGUAUAAUCAUAUUAAAGAGAUUUUGUUACUUUGUCUAAUCAGUAGGUGUAGGGUUCUUUAUUUUCGGUUUUCUUUCUUGUAUUAAAUAGGCGCUAGCUGUCUCCAUUGUGUACGCUUAAUUCAUUUCGCUUAAUGAAUGAAACAGGUAGCUUGCUACCUAUUUCUCAAAGAAAAAAAAAAAAGAUUUCAAAUAAGAAAAAUAUUGUAGAAUAUAUAGAAUUAGGCUACUAUACUAUCUAUAGUACCGAGCUCCAGUACUAUAGUGUUUGUUUUCGAUCUUAGGGCGUUCAAAUCAACGAUCCACACCAUUAAAUAUGAUCUAGGGUAUAUGAAUGUUUUAGGAAUAAAAUUUUAGUUUUUUUCGAUAUCGUUUACUUAGUAAAUAAAUUAUAUCAAAAUGGACGGUGAAAAUUGAAUAAUCUUUAAAAUUUGAGUAUAUGACUUUUAAAUUCAAGAUCAAGAAUGUUAACCUCAAUUUAUAUAGUUUAAAGUAUUUUCUAUCAAAAUUUGAAGAAAUUUAGAUUCUUCUACACCGUUAAACUCCAAACUUGUCAUAAUAGCCAUUGAAAAUUGACAAUUUUCAAAUAGUUUGAUCAUAAAGUAAACUAUGUCGAAAAAAUAUAAAAUUUUAUUUCUAGAAACUUAAAUAAUCUAGAUCAGUUUUAACGGUGUGGAUCAUUGAUUUGAACGCCCUAAGA